AGUCCAUGGUGAGGGCAAAGUCUGAGUAUAUUCUUGAAUCUAUCCCAAGCUUCAUAUAGAGACUCUGAAUCAUCUUGUUUUAAAUUGGCAAUCAAAUUCCGCAUGUGUGU
Molecule: small nucleolar RNA, 110 nt
Organism: Zingiber officinale
Lineage: Eukaryota; Viridiplantae; Streptophyta; Magnoliopsida; Zingiberales; Zingiberaceae
Source: RefSeq, a predicted model, not a curated record